CCUACGUGUGGCUGCAGUGAGGAAUAUUGGUCAAUGGCCGUAAGGCUGAACCAGCCAAGUCGCGUGAAGGAAGAAGGAUCUAUGGUUUGUAAACUGCUUUUGUACAAGGGUAAACCUGAAUACGUGUAUUCAGCUGAAAGUACUGUACGAAUAAGGAUCGGCUAACUCCGUGCCAGCCGCCGCGGUAAUACGGAGGAUCCAAGCGUUAUCCGGAUUUAUUGGGUUUAAAGGGUGCGUAGGCGGAUUGAUAAGUUAGAGGUGAAAUGUCCGAGCUUAACUCGGGAACUGCCUCUAAUACUGUUGAGCUAGAGAGUAGAUGCGGUAGGCGGAAUGUAUGGUGUAGCGGUGAAAUGCUUAGAGAUCAUACAGAACACCGAUUGCGAAGGCAGCUUACCAAUCUAUAUCUGACGUUGAGGCACGAAAGCGUGGGGAGCAAACAGGAUUAGAUACCCCAGUAGUC
This 460-nucleotide ribosomal RNA is filed under the name uncultured bacterium. RNAcentral describes it as "partial 16S ribosomal RNA". It matches the Rfam family "Bacterial small subunit ribosomal RNA", at positions 338 to 795 of the family's 1533-position model. The record is from RNAcentral.